RNAcentral lists this ribosomal RNA (494 nucleotides) under uncultured bacterium. RNAcentral's name for it is "bacterial SSU rRNA". It matches the Rfam family "Bacterial small subunit ribosomal RNA", at positions 30 to 516 of the family's 1533-position model. The record is from RNAcentral.
AUUGAACGCUGGCGGAAUGCUUUACACAUGCAAGUCGAACGGCAGCACGGGGGCAACCCUGGUGGCGAGUGGCGAACGGGUGAGUGAUACAUCGGAACGUGCCCAGUCGUGGGGGAUAACGUAGCGAAAGCUACGCUAAUACCGCAUACGAUCUACGGAUGAAAGCGGGGGAUCGCAAGACCUCGCGCGAUUGGAGCGGCCGAUGGCAGAUUAGGUAGUUGGCGGGGUAAAGGCUCACCAAGCCUUCGAUCUGUAGCUGGUCUGAGAGGACGACCAGCCACACUGGGACUGAGACACGGCCCAGACUCCUACGGGAGGCAGCAGUGGGGAAUUUUGGACAAUGGGCGAAAGCCUGAUCCAGCCAUUCCGCGUGCAGGAUGAAAGGCCCUCGGGUUGUAAACUGCUUUUGUACGGAACGAAACGGCCUUUUCUAAUAACAGAGGGCUAAUGACGAUACCGUAAGAAUAAGCACCGGCAACUACGUGCCAGCAGCC